Molecule: unclassified non-coding RNA, 398 nt
Filed under: uncultured bacterium
Lineage: Bacteria
Description: contains 16S-23S intergenic spacer region
Source: RNAcentral
GCCUCUUUUCCAGGAGUCCCGCACGUUCCGAAUGGAAGUCCAUGAUGCACUUCUACCGGAAGAGCAUCCGUUUCGAUUCUCGACGGAAUCAGUGUGGACCCGUGCGGUGAAAGUGACCGCAAAGGGUCGGGAGUUCACCGUUCCCCAUCCGAUGCAUCAGCUGUGGCACGUGUGUGUCCACUUCGCCUGGGCCCACGCGAUGACGUGGGGAAGCUGGCGCACACUGCGUGAUUGCGCGGCGCUCAUCGAGUGUGGCCAAUUCGAUUGGUCGGAGUUUGUCGGCUUUGCGAAGGAAACCCGAGCGGCGACAUGCUGUUUCUGGACACUGAUGCUUGCACGGCAGGUUGCCGGAGCGGCCGUGCCUGACCACGUUCUGAAAUCAUUGCAUCCUCCGUAUU